AUGCUCGCUUCGGCAUCACAUAUACUAAAAUUGGAAUGAUACAGAGAAGAUUAGCACGGCCCCUGUGCAAGGAUGACACACAAAUUUGUGAAGUGUUCCAUAUUUCA
This 107-nucleotide small nuclear RNA is filed under the name Notechis scutatus (mainland tiger snake). Lineage: Eukaryota; Metazoa; Chordata; Lepidosauria; Squamata; Elapidae. The record is from RNAcentral.